This 59-nucleotide transfer RNA is filed under the name Bos taurus (domestic cattle). It matches the Rfam family "tRNA", at positions 7 to 64 of the family's 71-position model. Rfam says of the family: Transfer RNA (tRNA) molecules are approximately 80 nucleotides in length. Their secondary structure includes four short double-helical elements and three loops (D, anti-codon, and T loops). The record is from Rfam by way of RNAcentral. RNAcentral also lists the same sequence under 2 other names. Lineage: Eukaryota; Metazoa; Chordata; Mammalia; Artiodactyla; Bovidae.
GUGGCUCAGACGGUAAAGCAUCUGCCUGCAAUGCAGGAGACCCGGGUUCGAUUCCUGGC